This 4414-nucleotide long non-coding RNA is filed under the name Mus musculus (house mouse). Its description in RNAcentral is "predicted gene, 49519". The record is from RNAcentral. Lineage: Eukaryota; Metazoa; Chordata; Mammalia; Rodentia; Muridae.
CUUGGGAGGAGACAGGAGGAUUACCAAGAGUUGAAGAACAGCCUGGGCUAGCCAGAUGCUGUCUCCUGUGGGCACUCACUGUGAGGACCUUGGGAAAACUGAAGCUGCAAGCUCCUUCUGAAUACUGCAUGAAAACGCACAUCAAGUGGCAUGUCGCUGAUGUUUAUGUUGCCUCCAUUGGAGCCAAGAACAGAAAUCGAAUCCCUCCCAGCUCUCCAGUUCACAGUCUGUGGGGGAGGGGUGGGGAGGGAGGCAGACUGUUCUAGAAAGCACAAGGCUUUUCUGGAACUGCUCUAAAAGCAACAUGUGUAGCAUCCGUUACAGCGAGGCUCCCAGGGCACCACUUAGCAGCAGGUUUAUUGAGCUCUGCAUGUUUGGUUUGAUUUGGUUUUUUGAGAUACAGUUUCUCUGUGUAGCCCAGGCUUUUCUGGAACUCACUCUGUAGACCAGGUUGGCCUUAAACUCAGAGAUAGGUCUGCCUCUGCUUCCCGAAUGCUGGCAUUCGCCACCACUGCCCAGCAAACCCUGAGUGUCUUAAUUCCCUUCUCUGUGGAAUGGGGCUUGUGUAGACUCCAUGGUGAGACUGUGAGGGUCAAUGGAUUUGCAGUCUGUCCAACAGUUGCUCAAAUGUUGGCCAUUUUGCUGGCUAACAGGAAAAGCGGUUAUUUGCUUUCUGUCCCUUAGUAAUGUAAGUCUUCAGAGCCUCCUUGUUGGCGAGGCAUAAUGGUGAGUUGGAGGCGAACCUGGGCUAUUGCCUCAUCUUAGGAAAAAAUGCUUCUCAUUUGCUUAAAAUAUACCCACUACAUACACACCAGAAGUUUGUACGUGUUAGGGAGGGAUGCAUGCUCUUAUAUAUGCAAGUACACCUUUAGGUAUAUGUAUAGAAAUUAGAGGUUGGCCUCAAGGGUUGGUCCUCAGGAGCUGACCACCUUGGCUUUUUUUCCCCCUUUUUGGAAUUAUUUAUUUACUUUAUGUAUAGGAGUACGUUGUCCCUCUGUUCAGAUGCACCAGAAGACGGCAUUGGAUCCCAUUACAGAUGGUUGUAAGCCACCAUUGUGGUUGCUGGGAAUUGAACUCAGGACCUCUGGAAGAGCAGUCAGUGCUCCUAACUGCUGAGCCAUCUCUCUAGCUCCAAUCAGCUCCACUCACCUUGGCUUUUCAAAGGCUUUUCCUCUCACUGGGCCCUGUGUCUGUCAGUUAAACGAGACUGGCAUGGAACACAUGCACAUAGCAUACCCAGGGUCUCGCAUAAGUGCUAGGGAGCAAGUCAGCUCUCCUUGCUUGUGUGGCAAGCCCUUUACCAUCUCCCCAACUCGGUGUGCAAAAACGUAAUAAUGCAAUUUAAAUUGCCAUGACAACUAUAAAUAAUGCUAUUGAAGUUAUAUAGAUAAUUGGUAAUCACAAAAAGGUAAUCACUGAGCGAAUAAAUGAAACCAGUCCCAUCAAUUAGGGAGAUAUGUCUCAGUCUUGCAUGUAUGUAAGAAUAAACAGACAGAUCAAUAGACAGGUAGGUAAUAGAUGAAAGAUAGAUGAUAGAGAUAUAGAUAGAUGAUAGAUAGAUAGAUAGAUAGAUAGAUAGAUAGAUAGAUAGAUAGAUAGAUAGAUAGAUAGAUGUGUAAAAACCACGUGUUUAUGAUUUAUCCCACGUGGCCCAUUCCCACUGCCAUGACUAAUCUCCUUAUAUUCAUUUUUCAAACCUAUGGGAUACCAGAAAGAAGCCUAACCAUACUACCCUCUCUCCAGCUUCUCAGUCUCAGAGUUUGCCAUCUAUACAUUUGAUACUAUCCAGUGUCCUACCAAUGAUUCUGAUUCUAGAGCUCAGGGACUUGGAAAAGAAGACUCCUUCCUGUCAGCAUCUCCACAUACUUGCAGGGUUCACCUAGGGCAGGAAGCUCAAGGUCCUGUGCACAUAGCCAUUGCUGGGUUCUCACCUGCAGCCUGAGGUGAAGGUCAUAGAUUUCUCAGGAGGGAAAAGUGGCCUACGUAUCUUUCUUUUAUUUUUUCAAGUGAGCACUUAUUCAUAAACUCAUUAAAACUUUUUUCUUAAUAAGCAUUUCCUAAGCUCCUAAAACAAAGUCCAGAUGUCCCAGGCCUGAGUAGUAACUUUCAGACAGGUACUAAACAGACAGGGAUGCUAAACCCUAGAAAGGUGCCCCUUAGAGAGGGGUUGGGGGAGGGCAAAAUGAAAAUAUAAAAGGUACCUAAGGAUCCCAUUACCGCUAACAAAGCUUCCCCACCCACAGGAAUCCAGCACACUUUCUAAUGGCUGGGAACACUGCUUAAGAAAUGGUUCCCACUUCCUCUCAGCGCACGGUCACUAGUUUCCACCCACCGAGGUGCCUGCAUCUCCAUAUCUGGUUUUCUGGAGCUCUGAUGAAUCCACAGAGGGCUACACUAGACCCAAAAGGGGUUGUUUAGCAGCACAUUCCCUUUGGCACAUCGCUGCACACACCCACACCUCAGUCCCUUGCCUUCUUUGGCUGCUUCUUGACCUUCUGCUGAUCUUAAUGGCAUUGGAGCUUUACAAAAACAGUGCUGUCUUCCCACAGCAAAGAAGUGUUCUCAAUUCUCCAUCUACCAUGAUCACAGCAGAGAAAGCAGAUGAGAGGGUAGACAAAUGUGUGUCUCUGGUUCAGGCUCCUACCUAGCUCUCCUUACAACCACUACUUGGGUUCCUCAAUGGCCCCCUGAUCUCAGGUAGCCUUGACACAUGUCCCUGUUCAGCCCUGCUGGAAAGCGGGCCCUGAUUCCACAGAGCACCAACAAAGAACCCUUGCUUGCUUCUGUAGUAUUCUUACCCCGAUGUCGUCCACUCAUUAAUUGUGAGAAAACAUUGCACAAGCAAAAGACAGCCAACAAAACACUCGGUGAGCACCGUCCAGAUGUCCCAACAUCAUGAAAGAUAGAGAAAGGUGUCACAGAGCUAAGAAGACCUAAUAUAGACAUGGCAGCAAAAUGCACACUGGUGAGAUUAAAGCCUUUGGAGUGGCCCACAGCCUCUUUCUUGCUGGUGUGCAUUUCUGUGAAGUCGUGUGAGACAUUCACAAGGUGAAGUUGGGUAGACAGGUGCUUCCCGAAUAAUCUUUGUGACACUGCUGUAAUUCUCCAACCUUUCCAAAAUAAAGGGAUUUAAAAGAAGCUGCCACACAAAGCAGCUAUUGCCCCCUCACUCUUUGUCAUCUUUUGUCGACUGCUUUCAGGCCUUGGGCAGAACAAAAGAGAGAACAAUGCUCUUUGCUGGUUGGGCACACCAAUGAUCAAAGAGAUAAGAUUCUUAAUGACAAGGGCCACAGCCUGCUACCAGACAGGCCAUUAGGGUAGGUGGCUUGCAUUGGCCCUAGGCCCACACUCCCUCUCUCCCCUCCUCCUUCCCUCCCUUCCUCCUUUCCUCCCAGUGGCCAUUCAGAUGACCUGGGUGAGAACAGAGCUUCUCAGGAAGCCUGAAGUUCUGAGUCCAGAGCUUAGGAAGGCUCUGAGGAAGCCUCUGUGCCUUAAUGUCCCCAAAGUCAGCAGGCUCAUACCCAGCUCAAAGCCAGCAAGUCCACUCUCAGAUUAGUGGGUUCUAGAUUCUUCUUCAGGGAGAAAAGAGAGUGGAGUUGAAACACCCUUAAUACCCUAAUUCUCUCAAAAGAUGAUUCAGACUUUUGUAGCUUCAUUAGCAUUUGCAGAUAAAAAUACAUUUUAAGUGGCAUUAUGCUAAGUAAUUAUUCUUACAAGAUGUGGAAUUAAAUACAUUUCCCUCAGCAUGAAAUUAUUCCUGCCACGUACUGAGUUGGGUGACAGCUUAAAAAGAAUUUGGACAGGGGGUUGCCACGAAAGGAAGAAGCAAUCUAUAUUCUUGAGGCGGUGGGGGGAAACCAACCCAAAAUAUCCACCAAAGGUAAAGUCCUUGUAGCAAAAUCAUUUUGGCUAGAUGGAAUAUUAAACCUGCUACUAUAAAUUUCACGCUUUGCAUUCCUAAAGCAGACGCAGAGAAAUGAUGCCAAAAAUUAAUCAGAAAUAAUGCCCGCCUUGCACGCUUUUUCCAGUAGGGGGCAGAACAGAUAAGACUGUGUGCGCUGGAGACCUCCCUAGACUGAUAAUCAGGCUUGUUUGUAAUUGCCUCUGUAAAGAUAUGUAGCCGCAUGCUUGAAUGCUUAUUUACAUUUUGGGAUGUGGUUGGGAAUAGAGGCUUUCGAUUUAGAACUUUGUUUCUGUCUCUAAGUACAUGGGAGACUUUCAGCUGUCGCGAACCUUGUAUUUACCAAUGCAUGGUGUUCAAUUGCUGGAUUUAAUUGUUACAGUACAGUGAAUUAUUCUAUUAUUUCUAACUAUUUUUUAUCUGGAAAAUUCAAACUUUCCAGGCUUUAGGGCAGGAUAAAAUGGCUCUGAGCAUGUCAGCGUCUCAAGAGUACAUUAUUUUCUUAUUGGAUUG